GAGGGAGAUUGGCUGCCUGGCUCUCACGGGUACAGGGAAUUAGGGUUCGAUUCUGGAGAAGGAGCCUGAGAACGGCUACUACAUCUACGGAAGGCAGCAGGCGCGUAAUUACCCAAUCCUUACCUCUCGCCCCGUGGUGACAAGAUAUAACAACGCGGUUAUUAUCGCGAUUGUAGUGAGGGUAUUCUAAACAGAACCUAUAGUACGAUUAGAGGGCAAGUCUGGUGCCAGCAGCCGCGGUAAUUCCAGCUCUAAUAGCGUAUAUUAAAGUUGCUGCAGUUAAAAAGCUCGUAGUUGGAUUUCAAGGAUUGUAAACCUCUCCGGGGAAUACAUCCUUCGUCUUCGGUCUGUUACUGUGAGAAAAUUAGAGUGUUUCAAGCACGCUUUCGCAAGAAUACAUUAGCAUGGAAAUAACGAAUGUAUUUAGAAUCUUGGUUAAUUCUAAAUUACGAUUAUAGAGACAGUGGGGGCAUUAGUAUUUAAUUGUCAGAGGGAAUUCUUGGAUUUGUUAAGACUACGUAUGCUAUAGCAUUUGCCAGGAUGUUUUCAUAAUCAAGGACGAACGAUACGGCGAUCAAGACAAUCAGAUACUGUCGUAGUCCUAUCUAUAACUAUUGCCGACUAGGAUUGGAGUGGGCUCAACACCAUUUCAGUACCUUAUGAAAAUCAAAGUUUUGGGUUCUGGGGGAAUAUGUCCAGACUGAACUUAAGAAUUGACGAUGCACCACCAGGAUGGGCUGCGCUUAUUGACCACCGGGAACUUACAGUCGAACUGUAGAUGCGAUGAGCUUUCUUGAUCUAUGGUGUGGCAUGCGUCUUAUUGGGAGAUUGCUGUUAUCGAACACAGACUACG
Molecule: ribosomal RNA, 853 nt
Filed under: uncultured rumen protozoa
Lineage: Eukaryota
Description: bacterial SSU rRNA
Rfam family: Eukaryotic small subunit ribosomal RNA
Source: RNAcentral